Molecule: ribosomal RNA, 550 nt
Filed under: uncultured archaeon
Lineage: Archaea
Description: bacterial SSU rRNA
Rfam family: Archaeal small subunit ribosomal RNA
Source: RNAcentral
ACGGGGUGCAGCAGGCGCGAAAACUUUACAAUGCGGGAAACCGUGAUAAGGGGACCCCGAGUGCCUGUACACGCAGGCUGUUCAGGUGUUUAAAACGCAUCUGGAGAAAGGGCCGGGCAAGACCGGUGCCAGCCGCCGCGGUAAUACCGGCGGCUCGAGUGGUGGCCACUAUUACUGGGCUUAAAGCGUUCGUAGCUGGUCUGUUAAGUCUCUGGGGAAAUCUUCCGGCUCAACCGGAAGGCGUCUCAGGGAUACUGGCAGACUAGGGACCGGGAGAGGUGAGGGGUACUCCAGGGGUAGGAGUGAAAUCCUGUAAUCCUUGGGGGACCACCUGUGGCGAAGGCGCCUCACCAGAACGGCUCCGACAGUGAGGAACGAAAGCUGGGGGAGCAAACCGGAUUAGAUACCCGGGUAGUCCCAGCUGUAAACGAUGCGCGUUAGGUGUAUCGGUGACCACGAGUCACCGAGGUGCCGAAGAGAAAUCGUGAAACGUGCCGCCUGGGAAGUACGGUCGCAAGGCUGAAACUUAAAGGAAUUGGCGGGGGAGCAC